AGGGGCUCAAGGCUGGGGCAGAGGGUUGGGGUGCAGGCCCUACCACUUGAAUUCAAGUGGUUUGAAGGUGAGGUGCUGAGUCAGCAUACCUUGGUUACAUAGAGUGGGAUAUUUUUCAAAAGCAGUCAGCAUUGGCUUAACUCUGCGCCCACUGAAGUUCUCCCAUUGACUCCAGUGAAGGAGAGGUAAGCAAACAUCAAGUGCUUCUGGAAAUCCCAUCCAGAAACUUUAAUCCUUAGUUCCUCAAAUGCAGGUUUAUGAACACAAAUGGGAGUAAUUAUAAUUUUAAAAACUCUGUCAGACCUCCCACACUGAAGCUGAUCAUUAAAAAAAAAACAACCAAAACAAACAAACAAAAAAACCCCCAGACAAUACUGGUGUUUUCUUUUUAAGUCUUUAAAGCUAUCUGUAUAGAAGUUCAUAAUAUUUGCUGUUACUUUAAACUAGCUUACCCUACCAAAUCUUUCUUCUUCUAUUUGAAAACACAGUUGUGUGCUAUCACCCACUCUUCCUAAUGAAGCUACACUUUAUCAAAGGUUCUCUGUUAACAGCUUGCUUGAUUGGCCAUUCAUACUUUUGAUGUCAGGAUGUGCUCAGGGACAGAGCAUUGCUGAUGUAAAACCAGCAGAGGGAGCUAAAUUACUUUUCACAGUAGUGUAAACAUGGCAAUAGGUUUUUACUACAGCUGGUCAAAAUUUUUCACACAAACAUUUGGAACGCCUUUUCUCUUGAAAUUUUGACAAACAGGAAUAAAAUUGUGCGGAAAUUCUCAGUUUCUCCCCUCCCCGCCCCCAAAUGUUUUUUACUGGCUUGUUGCAUGCCUUUGGUCCGUGAUGGUAUAUGGAAUUUUGCUUGAUUAUUUAAUAGAAAUCUUUAAGACAGAGUACAUUCCCAAGCAAAUUUAAGGCAGCACAGAUUUUUGGGCUAUACUAUUUGAUGAUAUUGUUUGUUAUAGUUGAAAGCUUUGCAUCAGAAGUACUCAUUUAAAAUACACAUACUCUCUGUGCUGGUAAAAAGUGGCAAUAGUAGUUGCAAUUAAACUGCAGCUAGUGGUAUAAAACCAUAUAAACCUUGCUGCGUACACUCUUUUGCACUCCCAGUUCUUUUCUAGUAGAUAGCAGAGAUGAUUGUCUUUGUAAUUAGUGAUUUUAAAUAAGUUCUAAUCUUUUAACCAUUGGUAACCCCAAUGCCCUUUCCCAGGAGUGUGGUAGUCUUGAGAGCCAAGUUUUACCAUGACUUACUUACUGUGAAACUAAAGUGAAUGCAUUGCAGCCUGAGCUGCUGCAGCAGGGGAGAGGCACCUCUCCCCCGCCACAGCAGCUCCGGGACUGGGGCUGUGGGAAAAGCGCCUCUUCCCCGUCGCAGCCUUGUAUGCCCCAAGUAACUUGCUCCCCACCCUACUCUCUACCUCUACGCGGUACUGGAGAACCAAGUGAUGCAUUGGAUCUGGCAGCAUGGAUCAGGGCAUAAGGUUUCAAAAAUGUACAUGUAGUAACACUACAUAAUUCAGAUAUUGCUACAUUCUUCAGUAAUGCUGUAGAUGUUGCCUAAGAUCUAGCUGAAUGUGUUAUCCCCUUUCGGUGGUGGUGGGGGGAGGUGGAUGAAUGCCUGCAACAUCAUGACAAGUGAUAAUACAUCCACAUAUGCAUCUUCAUAAUCUCUGGAGUAGAGACUGAGGACCCUGUGGAUCCAUCCUUGAAGGAAAUGAAGAGCUUAGAUGGAUUUCCUAAAUUGCUUGGUCCUAUAGAAGUAGAAAGCCAAUGCCUGUCUAACAUCCAAGGUAUGUAAACAAGAUUCCUGCAGAGAAAGAACUAUGCGACUUUGGGGAAAACACUGGUAGAUUAAUGGACUGCUAAGGUGGACCUCUGAUAGAAGCUUAGGUAAGAAUUUAGGGUGUGGACAUAAAGAGACUUUGUCCCUAAAGAACACUGUGAAAGUGGGUGGGGAGAAAUCUGCCAUCAAGUCUCCAAUCUUCCCGACCCUAUAGGCCAAUGUGAUGGCUACUAAUAAGGCCGUCUUCAUACAUAAAUGCAACACAGAACAGAUUGCCAUUAGUUCGAAUGGAGGUCUCAUAAGGUAACUGAGUACCAGGUUGAGGUCCCAAACCAGGAUAGGGUUUCUAAUCUGCAGACAGAGAUUCUACAAAACGCUUAAUAAAUAAAUAGAUGAUACUGGAUGACCAAAUUUGGAGAACCCUUCUACUGGAGAAUGAAAGGCUAAUACUGUGGCCAAUGGACCUUAAUCGAACUAACUGAUAACUUGAUUUCUUUAGCUCCAACAGAUAAUCAAAGAUGAUUGAAAGUGGCACCAAAUCAGGCAAGAGGCAACAACAAUACCAAUGGAAGACUCUCUUCCAUUUCUGCAGCUACAGACCCAACUCUGGACCACAGCAAGGACCAUCUGGGUAGAAGACAGCACUGCUUAGUAGGAACGGCCCUUGAGUAGCCAGUUGUCAAGGUAUGGGAAGAGUAGGAUCGCUUUUUGUCAGAGGUGUAUAUAUACCCAAGGAUUGUAAAGUAGCCCUAGACUCCUUUAGAGUAUGCAAGGACUCAUCCGUGGUUUCCAAGAACAGCUUACAACCAUUGAAGGGGAGGUCCCUCCAUGGUGUUCUCUAUUUCUCAGAAACCCCAAGGAAUGGAGCCAAGAUGCCCUGCACUCCACCACCACCACUAUGGAGAUGGACCUGGCAACAGCGUCUGCAGCAAUUUAGGAUUCUUGAAAAGCAGUUCUGGCCACCAACUAGCCCCCUGAGGCUGUGGACUGGAAUUGCUCCCUAUUUUCUUGUGGCAGAUGUUCAAUAAAAGCUAUGAAUCUGUUAUCAUUAUAUUUGGCCUAGGAAUGUAAAUAGCGGUUUAAAAAAAGGGAGUUAGAUGGAGAGUGUGAGAACAAAAAGUAAGGGGAACAUACCUCUUAUCCACCCAUUUAAAUUGAGGCAAAAUAGUGGCAGGUAUCUACCACACUAUCCUAGCUGGAUCUAGGAGCACCUCACUGAUGUGUAAUGCCAUCAUGGAGGGUGUUGCUGUCUGCAAGAUAUCCAACACUUUGUGCAGUAAAUCCUUGUCCUUUUUGAGAGGAAUCUGAAGAGUGUCAGCUACCCUCUUUAUGAGGUCUUGAAUUGCCAAAAAUCAUCAGCCAUGGCUGGUGGCAGAGACAUAAACACCUUGGCUAGUGACAAGGAUGAAAAUAGGUGUUUGAGUGGUGACCGCCUUAUGUGCCAUGGCUUCCUGCUCCUCACAUGUCUCCUCCUGUGAGGGGGGGGGCUGGUUAGGGAGGAGAGGGCUGUACAACUCUGGUCACCCUAUGAGAUGGUAUCAGUAGUUUGGUAAAUUGUUGACAGGCAGCCCAGGAAUCACAACAUGGGCACUGGAGGGGCCCAUAUGGCAUUGGGGGUGGCAUGCAGGGUUGGUUCCACCACCCUUGAUAAUGAGUCCAAUCUUUGCUAUGACUUGCAGAGAAUGUGUUCCUGAAGGGAUAUGUUGGUGAACCCUGAACAGAAACAGGAGACCAGCAGGGACUUCCCUCCAUUACAUUCAAUGGAUGAUUACCUGCUGAAAAUAGUGGAGAGUCCUCCAGUAUUGGAGAACAGUAGUUCAGCGUCACAGUCCUCAGAGAUGCUUGGUACUCAUGAGGAGCUGGGACUCCCUUAUAGAGCGUCCUUAGUAUAUCUGAACUCCUGUGGUACCGAGUAGGGGAUUGGUACUGAUGCAGUAGCUGAGGCCACGGUGGCUGAAGCCUGUGGUACCGCUGAUGGUGGGUGUACUAAAGCGGACGCCAAUGGUGUCUGGUGCUGUUGCCUGUUUGAUGCCGACGAUUCUGCAUGCACGUGUACCAGCGGUUGGGCUAAACUCAACGCUGCCAAUACCGAGUGUCUCUGCUUGCUGGUAGAAGGUACUAAGGGCCUAUCGGAGUCAUUUCUCUCCU
Molecule: long non-coding RNA, 3921 nt
Organism: Mauremys mutica (yellowpond turtle)
Lineage: Eukaryota; Metazoa; Chordata; Testudines; Geoemydidae
Exons: 3
Source: RefSeq, a predicted model, not a curated record